GGAUCAUGGUCAUGCUGGAAUACCCAUCCACGACCCAUUUUCAAUGCCCUGGCUGAGGGAAGGAGGUUCUCACCCAAGAUUUGAUGCGGUGAAGUUGUCCUGUCCCCUUAGCAGAAAAACACCCCCAAAGCAUAACAUUUCCACCUCCAUGUUUGAUGGUGG
Molecule: long non-coding RNA, 162 nt
Organism: Ictalurus punctatus (channel catfish)
Lineage: Eukaryota; Metazoa; Chordata; Actinopteri; Siluriformes; Ictaluridae
Exons: 2
Source: RefSeq, a predicted model, not a curated record